RNAcentral lists this ribosomal RNA (254 nucleotides) under uncultured bacterium. RNAcentral's name for it is "partial 16S ribosomal RNA". It matches the Rfam family "Bacterial small subunit ribosomal RNA", at positions 524 to 776 of the family's 1533-position model. The record is from RNAcentral.
CACGUAGGGGGCGAGCGUUGUCCGGAUUUAUUGGGCGUAAAGAGCUCGUAGGCGGUUUGGCAAGUCGGGUGUGAAAUUUCGAGGCUCAACCUCGAAACGCCACUCGAUACUGCCAUGACUGGAGUCCGGUAGAGGAGUGCGGAAUUCCUGGUGUAGCGGUGAAAUGCGUAGAUAUCUGGAGGAACACCGGUGGCGAAGGCGGCAUCCUGGACCAAUAUUGACGCUGAGGAGCGAAAGCCAGGGGAGCAAACGGG